Molecule: long non-coding RNA, 3237 nt
Filed under: Marmota monax (woodchuck)
Lineage: Eukaryota; Metazoa; Chordata; Mammalia; Rodentia; Sciuridae
Source: RNAcentral
CUAAGACCUCUCAAGGUACCAGUGGGACACUUCAGUGAUGGAUGUCAUAGAAGGUCUAAGUCCUGUCUGCUUCAUUGACUCCCAGGUGACUAGGGACAGGCCUCUACAGCCUCUCUCAUGUAUAAAAUGGGAUCCAGAAUAGUGACCACCUUGUGGGGUAGGAAAUGAAGGGCCAUGUCACAUUGGUUACUCAGGAGAUGGGAAGGGGCAGAUCCAGCCUGGCCAUGCCCACGCUCUCCCAGCCCAGGUUCCUGUCCCUUUGCUCUCACCUGGUGUUCUCUGAGAAGAAAUGUAUGCCCUGCAGCAAGCUGGUCCCUAAUCAUGACCCUGGCACUGCCCUGCAAGAGGCUGCUUCUUGACUGGGCAGUAAUUAGUAGGGCCAUGCCUAAGUCCUUGAGUGAGUAAGGUUCAUUUUCCUUCACCCAGGAAUGUCCAGAAGCUAGACACAGACAUGACACUGCUGCCCACCUGAGCAGCUCCUUACCUGCCUUCUGAGACUAUGAGUGGCCGAACACCAUGGAAGCACAAACUAGGAGCCAGUGGAGGAAAAGUAGAGCCCAAAGUCUCUUUUGUGGAUAGGUUUCUGAAUAAGGGUUAGGCAUCUUGAUCUUAGGUGGAGAAAGUAUGGGGGAGGGUGGGGCUGAGGAUGCCCACAGGUACUGUGGGUGCUAAGAGAGUGAAGGCUUCAGUAUAGCAUGUAGUUCUAGGAGUGACCACAUGGAGGCAGCAGAGGGUAGGACCAAUGAACAUUUUGAGGGAAGGGACUGUGCCCUGUCCCAGAUGGCUGGGGAUGGCAAUCUCCUCCACAACCUGCUGCAAGCAGGUGUGGUGACAGAGUUCAGGACUCCCACUCACUGAGCCUUGCACUUAAUAAAGGGCCCAGGACAGAAAUAGAAGAGCUUAGAGGCAGUGACAGUUCCCAUCUGGAGGGCUUCCUGGAAGAAAAGCAUGAUGGAGCUUAUAUAAGGAAACAGCUGACAGGAAUUGGAAGGAUGAAGGGUCAUCCAAGAAAUUAGAGGAAUAAUGAGGUCAGUUUCCUUUCUUCCCAGAUCCCUCCCCGCCUUGUCCUUAGACUCCUCUGAACUUGUAACUUGGGGCAGGGUGGUGCUCCCUGCCGCUUGGCCAUUGAGCUGGUACUUUCCUCUCUGCAGAUGAGGUAAAGUCUCAUUUCCCAUUGCCUGAGUCCCCAGUGCAUCCCUGUGCCAAACCAGGCCAGGUUAGCCACCUCAGUCAAUAAAAGGUUGGUUUCCUGGUCAAGGCCUGAACAUGUAGGUACAGGCACCCAAGGAGCCCAGGAGGGCUGGGGCAACUUCAUGGCUCAGUAAGUCUAGCAGAGGGUGUCCCAUUCAGGGUAAAAGACAGGUUAUAAUCCAUCCAUGGUGACACACACCUGUAGUCCUAGCUACUCAGGAGACUGAGGUAGGAGAAUUACUUGAGUCUAGGAGUUUGGGGCCAGACUGGCAACAUGGUCAGGCCUCCUCUCUCUCUCUCUCUCUUUUUUUUUUUUCUUUUAAAAAGAAAAAAAAAAGCAGAUUGUAUUCUCAGAGCUCUCAUUUAUCAGAGAGGGUAUCUCAGGCUCAAAGGGAGAGAUUGGUAGUUGUGUCUAAGGAGCAGUGGGUGGGUUAGGGGGCCAACCAAGAUGACUAUGCUGCUACACCAUGGCAUUUGAGUAAAGCAUGGACAACUUCAGUCUCCCCUGUCCAACCUAUUUCCCUCUAGGACAUGACCUAUAUCCCCUCCCCAGUAGGAGAAAAGGGCACACUGGCUGCGGCCUUAGCCCCAGACAUUUCCAUUGCCAGGGGCAGGCCAGGAUGGGAAGUCCCGCCACCUGACAGGGGCUUUCCCAGGGUCCCAAAGGAGAUAGAGGUACUACUAGUCCCUUACAAAGGUACCAGAAGGUACCAGAACAAAGCACAGAUGCUCUACAGACAUCAAAGGUAGGGACCUCCACCUCAGAGAGGUGGUCUCUCAAACAGCAGCCACAGAGCUUGCUGGAUAGACAACAGUGGGAGGUUUGCAAAUGGUCCCCCACAGGUUGGACUGACAGAUCAUCCAAAUCAAAGCCCUGUGGCAUGCUAUCCCCCUCGAAUAAGUCAGGAUAAGAGAGAUGGUAAUCCAAGGAGAGCCAGGGGAUCAGAUAAUUGCCAGUGAAGCACCCACAGGAUUCUGGCAACAUCCCAGGCAGAGGGAUUAAAGUGAGGGAUGUGCUUCUGGAACCAGGCCCAUAUCCACACAGAAGCAGGAACUAUGCAGGCCUGUUGGCUCACCCUGACCAGAGUCACAAGGGCAUUGGUCCUGCUGCAGACUCCCCCAUCAACUGAAGCAGAAAGAAGCAUCUACUUCUCUCCUACUGCCCUCCAGCCUCCCCCUAGGGCUUCCAAUUGGCUGGGCACAAUUGAAAACAGUAGACACAGGAGAGGGUGAGGAGGAUUCCCACUAAGUAUAGGAACUGUCCCCUCCACAUCUGCCAGGUCAGACAGUUUCUUUCAAAAGCCCUAGGGUAGACUGGGCAUGUAGCUCAGUGGAAAAGUGCUUGCCUAGUGUGGGUAAGGUCCUGGGUUCCAACCCCAGCACUAUGAAGAAAAAAAGCCCUAUGGUGGCUGAGUUUCUGGGGUGGACCAGACCCCUGCUAGGCUCUCUGGGGGACCUAUCUUCAGGUCCAAAGCUGCCUGAAGAGGAGGAAAUGGUCAUGUAGGAUGUUGUGGGAGUAGGAAGUUAUGGGGCUUCUUGGAGGAGUCUGUCUCCAGCCAAGUGUCUAAGGUUGAAAACCAAUUAGGGAAGUGAAGUUGAACAGGUAACUGCUAGUAGCUCAGACCCAUCUUCCAGUUGCACGCUAGAUAUAUUUCCCAACCCCCUUUGCAGCUGGGGGUGAUCAUGUAAUUGGGUCUAGCCAGGGCCAUGUGAGCUGAGGAUUGGAGAGAUUUCCAACCCAGGCCCAUAAGAAACCUCCCAACCUCCCACUGACACCUGCCUCCAGAUUCUUUCCUUUGCACGGAUGACUUUGGAAACCAUGUCAAUGUGGGUCUCUGCUAGGUCCCCAGCAUGGAGGAGGACCUACACACAUACAUACUCACAUGGUCAUCCUAUACUGUUCUGGAAAUAAGAAAUAAACUUCUGAUUCAGCAGGAUAUGUUGGUUGAAUGUGGGGCAUGGGGGUUAGUUUUGUUGCACCAGUGAGUCCCUCUAACAAUUCACCAGAAACAGAGGUAUGAAAAACUGCCCUUCCAAUUUUCAUUA